CUGUCCCGUAAUAGUUGUCGCUUUAACUUUUUUCUUUCAACGUUUGACCAUUCAUUUUAUUUGAAAAAUUUAUGCAAAUAUAAAAAAGGAUAAGUAAUACUUAAAGUACUUUUGAUAAUUAAGCAAGUCACAGAUAAAAUAAAUAAUAAUUUCAAAAUUUUUUGAAAUAAGACGAAUAAUCAAAUUUUACAAACAAAAACUCAAAGCGACAAGUAAUAUAGGACGGAGGU
Molecule: microRNA precursor, 230 nt
Filed under: Oryza sativa (Asian cultivated rice)
Lineage: Eukaryota; Viridiplantae; Streptophyta; Magnoliopsida; Poales; Poaceae
Description: partial microRNA MIR431f-2 precursor
Source: RNAcentral